Molecule: unclassified non-coding RNA, 410 nt
Filed under: Schizosaccharomyces pombe (fission yeast)
Lineage: Eukaryota; Fungi; Ascomycota; Schizosaccharomycetes; Schizosaccharomycetales; Schizosaccharomycetaceae
Source: RNAcentral
ACAUUGAAUGGGUAAUAAUUGAUUUACAUAGUAUAUGUCUCUACGUCUAGCAAUUAUUAGCUACGCAUUGCAACGCAUGCAAAUCCACAGCGGAACGGAAAUAGAAGAAACUCCAUUACAUUAUAAGCGACUCGUUAGAGUAAACACCUAGAGAGUUUUCCGUGCAAAGUAGUGGAGUUAAGUCACUUAGCGACUUAUUUAAUUACUGACUCGGAACAUGUAAAGCUUCCGAAAGAAGAAUUACAGUAAGCUCAGUCAUUGCCAGCUACACAAUUGUCAUUCAAAAAAACGAUACGUCGAAUUGCGGUGAGUUUCUUCUUGUAAUAACAUAUAAUCUAUGACUGCAAUAAAAAUAUACUUCCAUUAUUAUUACAAUUACUAGAAACUCGCCGCAAUUGAACAUACUAACG